This is a non-coding RNA of Vicugna pacos (alpaca), 125 nucleotides long. Lineage: Eukaryota; Metazoa; Chordata; Mammalia; Artiodactyla; Camelidae. The record is from RefSeq and is a predicted model, not a curated record.
UUCAUUCUUGGUGUUGUACAUUCCAUGGGAUUGGACAAGUGUAUGGUGACAAGUAUUCAUCAUUAUAAUGUCAUACAGAGUCUUCUCACUGCCUUAAAAAUUCUCUGUGCUCUGCCUCUUCAUAU